AAGAGUUAAAACACCAUCUUACCACCCUACAUUCAUUUUUCAAAAUAGAGAGAAGGCUCUCAACUCUCUCAACCCUUCCCCUCCUCCGGUCAUCGGACCGGCCAUCAACCGUCACGCCGGUCACCGGCCACCGACGGCGGCGGCGCCGUCCACGGUGACCGGAAAAUCUUUCGAGGCCCUUUUUCACUUCUCUUCUCAAGUAGAGCCCGGAUUUGGGGUUAAAAUGACCCAAAAACCUUCAAAAAUUAAUGAGAAGCACCCUAGAACUCAAGAAUCCAUUCGGUUUCAGGCCACCGAUCCUCGGCGGUGGCUUCCUCGGUCGUCCACGAUGUUGGAAAACUGAACACCGGCAAACGGUGGUGGAGGCAUGUGCCACUUGGUAGUGGUUGGAAGUGGGUGGUUGAGGCUUGCGGCUAGAGUUUCUAAUUUCCGAAAAUAGAUUGUGGGCUAGGGUUUCUAAGCUUUUGGGCUUCUUUUAGGUUUUAAUUUUUGGGCUGUAAUUGGGUUGGUAGCUUUGUUUGUAAAUGGACUUUUAAUGGGCAUUUUGAUUUUUUUUUUCAAAA
Long non-coding RNA from Gossypium arboreum, 563 nucleotides. RefSeq lists it as uncharacterized. The transcript has 2 exons. Lineage: Eukaryota; Viridiplantae; Streptophyta; Magnoliopsida; Malvales; Malvaceae. The record is from RefSeq and is a predicted model, not a curated record.